CCUACGGGAGGCAGCAGUGGGGAAUAUUGCACAAUGGGCGAAAGCCUGAUGCAGCAACGCCGCGUGAGCGAUGAAGGCCUUCGGGUCGUAAAGCUCUGUCCUCAAGGAAGAUAAUGACGGUACUUGAGGAGGAAGCCCCGGCUAACUACGUGCCAGCAGCCGCGGUACUACGUAGGGGGCUAGCGUUAUCCGGAAGUAAUGGGCGUAAAGGGGGCGGAGGUGGUUUCUUAAGUCAGGGGUGAAAGGCUACGGCUCACCCGGAGUAAGCCUUUGAAACUGGGGAACUUGAGUGCAGGAGAGGAGAGUGGAAUUCCAAGUGUAGCGGUGAAAUGCGUAGAGAUUAGGAGGAACACCAGUUGCGAAGGCGGCUCUCUGGACUGUAACUGACACUGAGGCACGAAAGCGUGGGGAGCAAACAGGAUUAGAUACCCGAGUAGUC
This 439-nucleotide ribosomal RNA is filed under the name uncultured bacterium. Its description in RNAcentral is "partial 16S ribosomal RNA". It matches the Rfam family "Bacterial small subunit ribosomal RNA", at positions 338 to 795 of the family's 1533-position model. The record is from RNAcentral.